This 631-nucleotide small RNA is filed under the name Pongo abelii (Sumatran orangutan). Its description in RNAcentral is "processed transcript". The record is from RNAcentral. Lineage: Eukaryota; Metazoa; Chordata; Mammalia; Primates; Hominidae.
GGCCACCAUGACAAUCAGUCUGCGGUGGCUGAGCUUGAUCGCCUCUAUAAGGAGCUGCAGCUAAGAAACAAAUUGAAUCAAGAGCAGAAUGCCAAGCUACAACAACAGAGGGAGUGUUUGAAUAAGCGUAAUUCAGAAGUGGCAGUCAUGGAUAAGCGUGUUAAUGAGCUGAGGGACCGGCUGUGGAAGAAGAAGGCAGCUCUACAGCAAAAAGAAAAUCUACCAGUUUCAUCUGAUGGAAAUCUUCCCCAGCAAGCCGCGUCAGCCCCAAGCCGUGUGGCUGCAGUAGGUCCCUAUAUCCAGUCAUCUACUAUGCCUCGGAUGCCCUCAAGGCCUGAAUUGCUGGUGAAGCCAGCCCUGCCGGAUGGUUCCUUGGUCAUGCAGGCUUCAGAGGGGCCGAUGAAAAUACAGACACUGCCCAACAUGAGAUCUGGGGCUGCUUCACAAACUAAAGGUAAAAAGUCCUGCACAGCCUAGUUCUUCCCUGUCCCCACUAUUCUUUCUCCCAAGUUUGAGUUUAAAAAAAAUCUCUCUUUGUAUUCAUUAUUCAUUUUGAAUUCUAAAAAUCCUUUUGUAUUCUUUGCUAGUGUAAUGAUACGUUUAAAAAAUUAAAAUUGAUACCGUGGUUGUA